This 252-nucleotide ribosomal RNA is filed under the name Triticum aestivum (bread wheat). RNAcentral describes it as "partial small subunit ribosomal RNA". The record is from RNAcentral. Lineage: Eukaryota; Viridiplantae; Streptophyta; Magnoliopsida; Poales; Poaceae.
AUGGCCGCCUCCUUUCAGUUCGCGCCGCUGCUGUCGGUUGCCCUCGCCGAUGCGUUCCCGGUUGCCCCGUUGCCAGCAUCUCCCAUCCACGACGCUCCCCUCUGCUCGUCUUCUUGCUACCCCCUGCAAGCCUGCGUCGCCAUGGUCCAUGGCGUCGACACCGGUGAACUCCUCGCCCCCCGACGACUCUCCAUGUCUCCUCCAUCUCCGCGCAUGCCUCCCGCCUCGCUGCCACCACAUCGCUGCCGAUAA